CUCUACGGCCAUACCACCCUGAACAUGCCCCAUCUCAUCUGAUCUCAGAAGCUAAGCAGGGUCAGGCCUGGUUAGUACUUGGACAGGAGACUAAGUCUACAGC
Molecule: ribosomal RNA, 103 nt
Filed under: Chinchilla lanigera (long-tailed chinchilla)
Lineage: Eukaryota; Metazoa; Chordata; Mammalia; Rodentia; Chinchillidae
Source: RNAcentral